GAAGCCAUAGGAGGCAAAGUCCAUCAUAUUCCCCUAGAAGGCGAUAUCACUGUUAGUAUAACUCUCACUGGGCAUCUAAUCUUGUACAUGUUUAAACAUGGCAUGUAUCUUAUACUCUCAGUAUUUACAUACUAUACAUGUAAAUAACUGCUCUAUUAGCAUAUUAGAACAAAGAGCGGUAUAAAGAGCUCGAGACUAAUAUCUUAAAGUCAAAGCUUACAUUGUUGUCCAUGCGUCUGCAGAAGUUUCUAAUCGCAAAAUCAUCAUGGAUAAUCUUCAAAAUCCACGGAAUUAUGUUUGUUUAUGCCUUUCGGCUUAUAAGGCUUUGCCUUGCGUCGGAUAGCAAGCUGACUUUGGUAUGAUCAAUGUGUGAAAUGAUUCCACGACUAGAGAUCCUCUUUUAUUUUUUGUUUUAGCUUUUAAGAUUGAUUUCCUAA
This 437-nucleotide long non-coding RNA is filed under the name Salvia miltiorrhiza (redroot sage). RNAcentral describes it as "long non-coding RNA (SMIL_LNC010025)". The record is from RNAcentral. Lineage: Eukaryota; Viridiplantae; Streptophyta; Magnoliopsida; Lamiales; Lamiaceae.